Molecule: long non-coding RNA, 1128 nt
Filed under: Mus musculus (house mouse)
Lineage: Eukaryota; Metazoa; Chordata; Mammalia; Rodentia; Muridae
Description: long non-coding RNA chr15:85886110-85887238
Source: RNAcentral
UUUUUUAAUAUUUUAUUUAUUUAUAUUUUCAAUGACACUUAGCCUCUUAAAUGCAUUUGUGUUGAGGUUCAGCCAGGUCAUGAUAUGAAGUGUAAUCUGUGUCACAUGCUACCUGGUUCCCUGCUGCAGCACCUCCCUGUCUCUCUGGGUCCCUAUUCUGAGUUUGAAGCCCACACUAGAACCCACCUGAGAGUCAAACAUCUGAAACCUAGGCUUCUGAGGAAGUAGGGUUUCUCUUAGAAGAACCCACACUUUUUAUAGUGUAGCUGAUGAUCCUUAAGGAAAUGUUCUGUGAGAAGACGCAGUGUUGUGUCCUGAAGGCCCUAGUUGAGUGCUUUGCAUCAGUGCUAAUUCAAGGCUCCUGGCUUAGCUGAGCAAUCCAGGUGCUGAGGUCUGAGUCAACCUCCUGCAGUGGACACCUGGAGUCACAGGACACAGGAGAGAUUAAGUAUAUUGAGUGGUCCUUCCAUAUGAUGAAAGAGUGCACACUUACUAAAAGUUACUGACAGUGAAGACAGAGGGGCAGCGUAUCUAUGGUUUCACACCAGAAUCAAAGGAGUAAGUCUGGGUGUCUGUAAGGAGCCAUUUAGGAUAGGCUGAGGCUAGCAGGUGGCCUUCUUGGAGGUGGCCCGUGGUUUUCACAUGGUCUGCAAUGGGUGAGCUCUAUGAGGCAAGGACCCAAAGAGACUUCAUCUCAGGAUUGCUUCUUGCAGCUGCUAUGCCUUUCCUGCCAUUAGCCUGCCCCACUGAGCAGAUUUCCUGCAGAUGAACAUAGAGAUGAAUUAGUAGGAAUUAAUGCUGUUUAGAUGAAUUAAUGACUUUAUAGAAUUCUUGAUCUGCUUCAAAUAAUCUGAGGAAGAAGGUUUUAAGAGAUGGUUCUGGGGGCUGGAGAGAUGGCUCAGAGGUUAAGAGCACUAACUGCUCUUCCAGAGGUCCUGAGUUCAAUUCUCAGCAACCACAUGGUGGCUCACAACCAUCUGUAAUGUGAUCUGAUGCCCUCUUCUGGUGUCUCUGAAGAGAGCAAUGGUGUACUCAGAUACUUAAAUAAAUAAAUCUUAAAGAAAAAAAAAAAAGCUGGGCAGUGGUGGCACAUGCAUCCCAGCAUUUAAAAAAGAGAGAGAGAGAGAG